Molecule: ribosomal RNA, 90 nt
Filed under: Clostridioides difficile
Lineage: Bacteria; Bacillati; Bacillota; Clostridia; Peptostreptococcales; Peptostreptococcaceae
Description: partial 16S ribosomal RNA
Rfam family: Bacterial small subunit ribosomal RNA
Source: RNAcentral
UCGUCGAAGGUGGAAUCAAUAACUGGGGUGAAGUCGUAACAAGGUAGCCGUAUCGGAAGGGGCGGCUGGAUCACCUCCUUUCUAAGGAGA